This 745-nucleotide ribosomal RNA is filed under the name uncultured bacterium. Its description in RNAcentral is "bacterial SSU rRNA". It matches the Rfam family "Bacterial small subunit ribosomal RNA", at positions 505 to 1249 of the family's 1533-position model. The record is from RNAcentral.
GUGCCAGCAGCCGCGGUAAUACGUAGGGCGCAAGCGUUAUCCGGAAUUAUUGGGCGUAAAGAGCUCGUAGGCGGUUUGUCGCGUCUGCUGUGAAAACGCGGGGCUCAACUCCGCGCCUGCAGUGGGUACGGGCAGACUAGAGUGCGGUAGGGGAGAUUGGAAUUCCUGGUGUAGCGGUGGAAUGCGCAGAUAUCAGGAGGAACACCGAUGGCGAAGGCAGAUCUCUGGGCCGUGACUGACGCUGAGGAGCGAAAGGGUGGGGAGCAAACAGGCUUAGAUACCCUGGUAGUCCACCCCGUAAACGUUGGGAACUAGUUGUGGGGGCCUUUCCACGGUCUCCGUGACGCAGCUAACGCAUUAAGUUCCCCGCCUGGGGAGUACGGCCGCAAGGCUAAAACUCAAAGGAAUUGACGGGGACCCGCACAAGCGGCGGAGCAUGCGGAUUAAUUCGAUGCAACGCGAAGAACCUUACCAAGGCUUGACAUACACCGGAAACGUCCAGAGAUGGUCGCCCCUUUUUGGUCGGUGUACAGGUGGUGCAUGGUUGUCGUCAGCUCGUGUCGUGAGAUGUUGGGUUAAGUCCCGCAACGAGCGCAACCCUCGUUCUAUGUUGCCAGCACGUUAUGGUGGGAACUCAUGGGAUACUGCCGGGGUCAACUCGGAGGAAGGUGGGGAUGACGUCAAAUCAUCAUGCCCCUUAUGUCUUGGGCUUCACGCAUGCUACAAUGGCCGGUACAAUGGGCUG